AGAGUUUGAUCCUGGCUCAGAUUGAACGCUGGCGGCAUGCCUUACACAUGCAAGUCGAACGGCAGCGCGGGGCAACCUGGCGGCGAGUGGCGAACGGGUGAGUAAUAUAUCGGAACGUGCCCUGGAGUGGGGGAUAACGCAGCGAAAGUUGCGCUAAUACCGCAUACGAUCUAAGGAUGAAAGCAGGGGACCGCAAGGCCUUGUGCUCCUGGAGCGGCCGAUAUCUGAUUAGCUAGUUGGUGGGGUAAAGGCCUACCAAGGCAUCGAUCAGUAGCUGGUCUGAGAGGACGACCAGCCACACUGGAACUGAGACACGGUCCAGACUCCUACGGGAGGCAGCAGUGGGGAAUUUUGGACAAUGGGCGAAAGCCUGAUCCAGCAAUGCCGCGUGAGUGAAGAAGGCCUUCGGGUUGUAAAGCUCUUUUGUCAGGGAAGAAAC
RNAcentral lists this ribosomal RNA (439 nucleotides) under uncultured bacterium. RNAcentral's name for it is "bacterial SSU rRNA". It matches the Rfam family "Bacterial small subunit ribosomal RNA", at positions 8 to 451 of the family's 1533-position model. The record is from RNAcentral.